Molecule: ribosomal RNA, 774 nt
Filed under: uncultured Neocallimastigales
Lineage: Eukaryota; Fungi; Neocallimastigomycota; Neocallimastigomycetes; Neocallimastigales
Description: partial large subunit ribosomal RNA
Rfam family: Eukaryotic large subunit ribosomal RNA
Source: RNAcentral
UAUGUGAUCGUCUCUCGCAUAUCAAUAAGCGGAGGAAAAGAAACUAACAAGGAUUCCCCUAGUAACGGCGAGUGAAGCGGGAAGAGCUCAAAUUUGAAAUCUUAAAGGGUUUCCCUUUACGAAUUGUAGUUUAAAGAAGUGUUUUCUGUUGAGGUUUUGGUAAAAGUUCUUUGGAAUAGGACAUCAUAGAGGGUGUAGAAUCCCGUAUUUGACCUUUACUUUCAACUUUGUGAUACACUUUCAAAGAGUCGGAUUGUUUGGGAAUGCAGUCCAAAAUGGGUGGUAAAUUUCAUCUAAAGCUAAAUAUUGACGAGAGACCGAUAGCGAACAAGUACCGUGAGGGAAGAUGAAAAGAACUUUGAAAAGAGAGUUAAACAGUACGUGAAAUUGUCAAAAGGGAAGCGUUUGACACCAGUGUUGUUUUUCUGAAAAUCAAUUAAAGAACUGUUUAUGCUAAGCUGUUUAGACUUUAUCAGCUAUCUGUUUAGUUUUGAGCUUUUCUUUAAUGCACUUUUCAGUUAACAAGUCAACAUCAAUUUCUUUUGCUGUAAAAAAGCUUGAGGAAGGUGGCUUGAGAUUCGUCUUAAGUGUUUAUAGCCUCUUGCCUAUGCAGUCGGAGAGAUUGAGGUCUGCAGCGUAGAUCCUUCGGGGCUAAAUGCAUUUGUGCUAAGUUAUAGCAUUUUAUAGACAACUUGUUGACUAUGAUUUGUCUUGUAGCUUACUCGCUUAUGUUAUUUUACCUACGCUUAGGAUGUUGAAGAUAUGCGCGACACG